UACGUAGGGUGCGAGCGUUGUCCGGAAUUAUUGGGCGUAAAGGGCUCGUAGGCGGUCUGUCACGUCGGGAGUGAAAACUCGGGGCUCAACCCCGAGCCUGCUUCCGAUACGGGCAGACUAGAGGUAUGCAGGGGAGAAUGGAAUUCCUGGUGUAGCGGUGAAAUGCGCAGAUAUCAGGAGGAACACCGGUGGCGAAGGCGGGUCUCUGGGCCGAUACUGACGCUGAGGAGCGAAAGCGUGGGGAGCGAACAGG
Molecule: ribosomal RNA, 253 nt
Filed under: uncultured bacterium
Lineage: Bacteria
Description: partial 16S ribosomal RNA
Rfam family: Bacterial small subunit ribosomal RNA
Source: RNAcentral